AUCUUCCACAAUGGACGAAAGUCUGAUGGAGCAACGCCGCGUGAGUGAAGAAGGGUUUCGGCUCGUAAAACUCUGUUGUUAAAGAAGAACAUCUGUGAGAGUAACUGUUCAGGUAUUGACGGUAUUUAACCAGAAAGCCACGGCUAACUACGUGCCAGCAGCCGCGGUAAUACGUAGGUGGCAAGCGUUGUCCGGAUUUAUUGGGCGUAAAGCGAGCGCAGGCGGUUUUUUAAGUCUGAUGUGAAAGCCUUGGGCUCAACCGAAGAAGUGCAUCGGAAACUGGGAAACUUGAGUGCAGAAGAGGACAGUGGAAUUCCAUGUGUAGCGGUGAAAUGCGUAGAUAUAUGGAAGAACACCCGUGGCGAAGGCGGCUGUCUGGUCCGUAACUGACGCUGAGGCUCGAAAGUAUGGGUAGCAAACAGGAUUAGAUACCCUGGUAGUCCAUACCGUAAACGAUGAAUGCUAAGUGUUGGAGGGUUUCCGCCCUUCAGUGUUGCAGCUAACGCAUUAAGCAUUCCGCCUGGGGAGUACGGCCGCAAGGCUGAAACUCAAAGGAAUUGACGGGGGCCCGCACAAGCGGUGGAGCAUGUGGUUUAAUUAGAAGCUACGCGAAGAACCUU
This 620-nucleotide ribosomal RNA is filed under the name Lactiplantibacillus pentosus. RNAcentral's name for it is "bacterial SSU rRNA". It matches the Rfam family "Bacterial small subunit ribosomal RNA", at positions 361 to 972 of the family's 1533-position model. Lineage: Bacteria; Bacillati; Bacillota; Bacilli; Lactobacillales; Lactobacillaceae. The record is from RNAcentral.